This is a long non-coding RNA of Spinacia oleracea (spinach), 2651 nucleotides long. RefSeq lists it as uncharacterized. Lineage: Eukaryota; Viridiplantae; Streptophyta; Magnoliopsida; Caryophyllales; Amaranthaceae. The transcript is spliced from 5 exons. The record is from RefSeq and is a predicted model, not a curated record.
CAGUUUCACAAGCGCAGCUUUAACGUAAUCAAACACAAACUCUCAUUUUGUCAUCUUCCGUAUUCAGCUCGGGCUAAAUGUUGCCUCUCCUCCACCUCCGACGGUGAGCCCGAGCAGGAGCAAAAGCCGUAAUCCGGCGACCGGCGGCAAGGUAGUGUCUCAUCUCUUUCUUCUCUCUUACACACGUACCUCACUUGCACCUAUCCAUCUUCCUUUUGCUUAUAAUUUCCUGAUUCCUCUGCAAUUGUUUUGUUAAUCGCAAUUCAAUUGCAUAAACCUAAUUUUGCAAUUGCAGUUUUUCUGAUUUCCUUCAACAAAACAAUAUGGGUUUUCUUAUUGCUCAAUUUUAUGAUCUGGGUACCUUUUACUUUUGAGAAAACCUGUCUUAUUUUUUUUUUUAUGUGGCUCAAUAAUGUUUCAAAGGCUUAUUUGAGGAAUUUGAGGGAUUUUUUCUGUGAAAUUAUUGUCAUCUCCCUGCUCCUUCUCGUACCGGCGAGCUCUCAUCUCCCUCCUCCUUCUCCACCGGCGAGUUCUCAUCUCUUGGAGUCAAUGGAGGUUUUUCCAAGCAACUGGACAUUGUUCUUGAGAUUUAAAUUUCCACCGAAUUCUGGGAAAAGAAUUUGGAAACCAGGGAUUUCCUUGAAGCAACCAAGGAGUGUGUCAGCAUUUGCCAUUCGAAAGGAGUUCCUAUCUUGAAAAAUAACAGAGUUGAUGUAGCUCUGGCUUAUGAUGCGGAUGGCGUGCAUGUUGGCCAGUCUGACAUGCCAGUAUCUCUUGUGAUCGACUUGCAUAUUUCGUUGGUGCAAAUUUCACGCCUCAUGUGAUCACUGUAAAUGCAGGGGAGUGGAUACAUGGCACCUGAAUACGUAACAGCGGGACAUAUUUCAGUGAAGUCUGAUAUUUUCAGCUACGGUGUCAUGCUUUUAUAGAUUGUGAGUGGUUUGAGGAAUAGUUACUCAGAUCCAGAUAUCAGUCAGGACGAGAAUCUUCUACAUUAUCAAUCAGGUUUUGACGUCUUCGCGAGCAGAUAGUAGCCGAAACAAUCCCAUUGGCUACUGCACAGCUGCACUGUCUACCCUCAAUUCUUAUUGGUCAGUUUCCUUAACAGUUUAGGACCUUACAGAAAAAAGAAGGCCAUGGUAAGACUGUAAAUACAAGCCAAUUUUUGUAAUUCAUUUCCUAUAACUAGUUAUUCUUGCUGCUACACCAGGAUUAAAUAAAAUCAGCAGCUCAAUUUUUUUAGAAUAUCCAAAGUCAUUUGCGUCGCACAUUACCUUAAUCUUAUGACUAAUCAUAUGACUAAUCAUAUAAAUCAUGAUUAGGCGUGCAUAACGAACUUGAAAUGAGUCUUAUAAUCAUAUGAUUAAUCAUAUAAAUCAUGAAAACGUUUAGAAUAUGGAAAUAGGUUCGUUUGUUGGUAAUUGGGAUCGAAAAUGCCAUUUAUGGCCAUAAAUGACCUAUAUCGACUCAAAUGACCCUUUGGCGUGCAUAACGAACUUGAAAUGAGUCUUAUAAUUAUAUAACUAAUCAUAUAAAUCAUGAAAAAGGUUUAGAAUGUGGAUAUAAGUUCGUUUGUUGGUAGUUGGGAUCGAAAAUGCCCUUUUUGGCCAUAAAUGACCUAUAUCGACCCAAAUGACCCUUAAGCGUGCAUAGAGAACUUGAAAUGAGUCUUAUAAUCAUAUGAUUAAUCAUAUAAAUAAUGAAAAACGUUUAGAAUAUGGAAAUAGGUUCGUUUGUUGGUAGUUGGGUUCGAAAAUGCCAUUUUUGGCCGUAAAUGAACUAUAUCGACCCAAAUGACCCAUAGGCGUGCAUAACGAACUUAAAAUGAGUCUUAUAAACAUAUAACUAAUCAUAUGAAUCAUGAAAAAUGUUUAGAAUAUGGAAAUAGGUUCUUUUGUUGGUAGUUGGGAUUGAAAAUGUCAUUUUUGGCCAUAAAUGACAUAUAUCGACCCAAAUGACUUUUAGGCGUGCAUAACGAACUUGAAAUGAGUCUUAUAAACAUAUAACUAAUCAUAUGAAUCAUGAAAAAUGGUUAGAAUGUGGGAAGAGGUUCGUUUGUUGGUAGUUGGGAUCGAAAAUUUCAUUUUUGGCCAUAAAUGACCUAUAACGACCCAAAAGACCCAUAGGCGUGCACACCGAACUUAAAAUGAGUCUUAUAAACAUAUAACUAAUCAUAUGAAUCAUUAAAAAAGGUUUCCAAUUUGAAUAUAAGUUCGUUUGUUGGUAGUUGGGAUCAAAAAUGACAUUUUUGGCCAUAAAUGACCUAUAUUGACCCAAAUGACCCAUAGGCGUGCAUAAAGAACAUGAAAUGAGUCUUAUAAUCAUAUAACUAAUCAUAUGAAUCAUGAAAAAGGGUUAGAAUGUGAAAAUAGGUUUGUUUGUUGGUAGUUGGUUUCGAAAAUGACACUUUUGGCCAUAAAUGACCUAUAUCGACCCAAAUGACCCUUAGGCUUGCAUAACGAACUUGAAAUGAGUUUCAUAAACAUAUAACUAAUCAUAUGAAUCAUGAAAAAGGGUUAGAAUGUGGAAAUAGUUCGUUUGUUGGUAGUUGGGAUCGAAAAUUCCAUUUUUGGCCAUAAAUGACCUAUAUCGACCUAAAUGAACCAUAAGCGUGCAUAACGAACUUGAAAUGAGUCUUAUAAACAUAUAAC